GGCUCAGAGCGAACGCUGGCGGCAGGCUUAACACAUGCAAGUCGAGCGGGCGUAGCAAUACGUCAGCGGCAGACGGGUGAGUAACGCGUGGGAACGUACCUUUUGGUUCGGAACAACACAGGGAAACUUGUGCUAAUACCGGAUAAGCCCUUACGGGGAAAGAUUUAUCGCCGAAAGAUCGGCCCGCGUCUGAUUAGCUAGUUGGUGAGGUAAUGGCUCACCAAGGCGACGAUCAGUAGCUGGUCUGAGAGGAUGAUCAGCCACAUUGGGACUGAGACACGGCCCAAACUCCUACGGGAGGCAGCAGUGGGGAAUAUUGGACAAUGGGGGCAACCCUGAUCCAGCCAUGCCGCGUGAGUGAUGAAGGCCCUAGGGUUGUAAAGCUCUUUU
RNAcentral lists this ribosomal RNA (390 nucleotides) under Bradyrhizobium sp. R-45574. RNAcentral's name for it is "bacterial SSU rRNA". It matches the Rfam family "Bacterial small subunit ribosomal RNA", at positions 21 to 437 of the family's 1533-position model. Lineage: Bacteria; Pseudomonadati; Pseudomonadota; Alphaproteobacteria; Hyphomicrobiales; Nitrobacteraceae. The record is from RNAcentral.